CAAAAAGCAGUCUCAGUUCAGAUUGUAGGCUGAAACUCGCCUAUAUGAAGUCGGAAUUGCUAGUAAUCGCAGAUCAGCAUGCUGCGGUGAAUACGUUCCCGGGCCUUGUACACACCGCCCGUCACACCAUGAGAGUCGAUAACACCCGAAGCCUGUAGUCUAACCAGUAAGGGGGACGCAGUCGAAGGUGGGAUUGAUAAUUAGGGGUGAAGUCGUAACAAGGUACC
Molecule: ribosomal RNA, 227 nt
Filed under: uncultured bacterium
Lineage: Bacteria
Description: partial 16S ribosomal RNA
Rfam family: Bacterial small subunit ribosomal RNA
Source: RNAcentral